UGCUAUUUUUUGUAUGCCAGUGAGCAAGCCUUAGGCAAGAAGAAAUAUAUUUUAGCUCUGUUUUUAAAACAUUGGACAUUUAAGUGCUAAAUUGAUAAAACAAACAUACAAACAAAACAAAAAAAUAAUAAUAAUAGAAAAGAUAUCUAUGCAGGUAUUUACAAAUAAGAUUUGAUAAACCUAAAUGAGUCUUCAGUCAAAGAAGGAAACAGAAAUCAAACUUACAAAGAGAAUUGUGAGGGUCUGGAACCAACUCCCCAGUAAUGUUGUUGAAGCUGACACCCUGGGAUCCUUCAAGAAGCUGCUUGAUGAGAUUCUGGGAUCAAUAAGCUACUAACAACCAAACGAGCAAGAUGGGCUGAAUGGCCUCCUCUCGUUUGUAAACUUUCUUAUGUUCUUCUUAUGUUCUUAUUUUCAUUCAAUACAAUGAAUUUCAGCAGUUAGAAUAUUAACUGGGCAAUAUAGACCUGUAUGCAGUUGUGGUAAAAUAUGUACUGAAGAACAAGGAAGUCUAGCAGGUGGAGACAUGGAAGAGAAUUAUCUGACACAGGUUUCAUUAUCAAACAACAACCCAGCAGAAUGCACUGCUUAAAUGCAACAUUUCAGAUAUUGUCGAUCAGGAGUGUGUUUUUCCACAGCAUCAUUGCAAAGAGGUCAGUGCCUGCCAGUCAUGCCUUGAUCAACUGUAGUAAGAGCAAAGAGAAGCAGUAAAAAGAGUUUAUUGAUGUUCUGCUCAUGAAAUGACAUGUGUUACAGUGUUACUAAAAGAGGGACCUUGGUAUGCGGACCAGUUUACUCUAUACUAACACUUACAAAAGUUAUUUACUGAUUAAGUAGUACAUGACACAUAGAGAUUAGCACCAAUAAAAGUAAAAUCAUUUGUGUUAAAUAUUUUUAAGCAGUUGUGUCUAGCAGGAAUUGUGGAAAAUAUUCUUAUAGCAUGCAUUGACCACUGCUCUACAUAUACAGUCUAUGGAUUUAAUGUUUAUCAUAAGUUCUGUUAGCGUUGCACAGUUGACCAUGUCAUACAGCAAAAAUCCCCAAAGUGGAUUUUUUGUAUGGGACCUCUGAAUACUUUAACCGCCCCCUAACCGUUCUCCUUGAACAGAACAGAAGCAGUAAAAACAAAGGACAGAGUUCAGUCGUAACACAAAGUGCAUCUGUCUCCCACGCAUAUGUCUGCUGACAGCAUGUUAUAGUGUUCCAGCAAAUCAGCAUUUCUACAGAUCCUUUGAGCAUGCCUGCCCAUGGUUGGUGUCUGCAGAGGACAUUAAAUUAACAACCUCAUUUUGAAACAAUAACAAUAAGAAAGGUUCGAAUUGUACUUUGUGCGGUGUUGACUCAUCAUUUAUAUAACUCCUAUUGCUGUAAAUGCACGAGCAGCAAUUUCAUGUGUGGUUUUGUGUUCUGCAAGUUGUGAAUGGUGUGGGUGGGAUCAUGAUUUGUAUCUGAACCCUUUGUUUUCACUCCAGUGUUUAAAGGCAGUUGUUUUCUGUCCUCUUUAAGAGCAGCUGUUGUCCAGCAUGGCUGCAGUCCCCUCAUCAAGAUGCCUGCUUGAGAGGAAUCAGUUUUACAGAAACCGACUGAAUUCCUUUACCAGCCUUUCAUCUGGAAUCUUCACACUGUCAAAAGAUAGUGAAGGGAACCUCCCUCUAACCACUAAAUCCAUACAUCAAGGUUUUCCAACAGCUAUGGAGAAAAGCUGGUUGAGCAGUGCAUUUUUUGGAAGUUUGGGACAGAACUCCAAUACUGGCAAGGUUUCUUCAGAAAAAUAGGAUAAAACAUUAUCCCAACGGAAAGCACCAGCAAACCCGGACUCACUCAGAUGGAACCAAAAAAAAAAAAAAAAGUAACUUUGUAGGGUCUGUGCUAAUGAAGGAUGAGGAAACCGGUACGUGUUUUAAUGUUACUGAAUUGCAAUGGCUUGAGAACCAGAGGACUACAUGAUGCUCAAGACCGACGCUCCAAAAGGCAAAAUGUGUCGUCGUCCCCCCCCCAUUAGAAAACCAGGCAGCAGGCCAAACUUGGAACAUUAAGAGGGGAAAGGAGUGUACAUGGCCAUAGAAAUCAGUUGGUUUAUUGAUAGUGCUAAAGCUCAGACAGAUGUGUGGCUGAGAAAGAACGAACACACAAGUGUAGAAUCAGAGCACAAAAGCUUGAAGUAAAACACUAAAGAGCAAAUAAAAUACGGCAUGUUGAGCUCGCUUAGCAACUUUGCUGUUUGCCAAUAAUGUGGAGUAGGUUGAGACUGUGUUACAUAAUUAUACAGUACCUGGCCUUCUCUGAAACACACAGGAAUGAACUUGAGGCUAUUUCAGCAGAAAAGGUAGUGUAAAAGAUUACUGGAACACAUAGAAACUACUUCUCAAAAUGUUUCAUCAGCCAUUAGAAAAUAGUUUUGUUUUUGUAAAUAUGUAUAGCAUUAUUUUGUAUACUAUUCCAACAUUUAAAAUAAGUAUUUACAGUUAAGUUUAAUAAUUCUAUGGGAUCUGUGACAUACAAAAUAACAAAAAAAAUCUAAAUACCAUUAUUCUUUAUAACAUGUAAUAAAUAUUUGUCAAUUUUACACUCACACCAUAU
Long non-coding RNA from Acipenser ruthenus (sterlet), 2580 nucleotides. RefSeq lists it as uncharacterized. NCBI's taxonomy places the organism in Eukaryota, Metazoa, Chordata, Actinopteri, Acipenseriformes, Acipenseridae. The record is from RefSeq and is a predicted model, not a curated record. The transcript is spliced from 4 exons.